RNAcentral lists this Y RNA (96 nucleotides) under Propithecus coquereli (Coquerel's sifaka). RNAcentral describes it as "Y RNA (ENSPCOG00000008301.1)". It matches the Rfam family "Y RNA". Rfam says of the family: Y RNAs are components of the Ro ribonucleoprotein particle (Ro RNP), in association with Ro60 and La proteins. The Y RNAs and Ro60 and La proteins are well conserved, but the function of the Ro RNP is not known. In humans the RNA component can be one of four small RNAs -- hY1, hY3, hY4 and hY5. Lineage: Eukaryota; Metazoa; Chordata; Mammalia; Primates; Indriidae. The record is from Rfam by way of RNAcentral.
GGCUGGUCUGAUGGUAGUGGGUUAUCAGAACUUAUUAACAUCCAGGUCACUAAAGUUGGUAUACAACCCCCCACUGCUAAAUUUGACUGGCUUUUA